Molecule: RNA transcript, 1398 nt
Organism: Lates calcarifer (barramundi perch)
Lineage: Eukaryota; Metazoa; Chordata; Actinopteri; Centropomidae
Gene: ube2v1
Gene name: ubiquitin-conjugating enzyme E2 variant 1
Exons: 5
Source: RefSeq, a predicted model, not a curated record
UCAACGCGCACGCACCGUUGGGCACAAUGGCAAAGCUACGUGCGCGCUCCCGCUGUGUAGCGACAAGAUGGCGGGCGCCGCCGGAUCAGGCGUUAAAGUUCCUCGCAAUUUCCGGCUCUUGGAAGAGCUGGAGGAAGGCCAGAAAGGUGUGGGAGAUGGGACGGUGAGCUGGGGUCUGGAGGAUGACGAGGACAUGACCUUAACACGAUGGAGAGGAGUGAUCCUCGGCCCUCCCAGGACAAGCUAUGAAAACAGGAUGUACAAUCUGAAGGUUGAAUGUGGGCCAGGAUACCCAGAGUCACCGCCGUUUGUCAGAUUUGUGACAAAGAUAAACUUGAAUGGCGUGCACAACUCCAACGGUGUGGUUGACAUGCAUGCAGUGACUGCACUGGCCAAGUGGCAGAACUCCUACAGCAUCCGGAUGGUGCUGCUGGAGCUGCGACGGCUCAUGACGUGCAAGGAAAACAUGAAGCUUCCUCAGCCACCCGAGGGCCAGAUCUACACCAACUGAGCCCUACUGCUACUUUUGCCUCCAUCUUUUUCUCCUUUCCCCUCCUCUCCCAACUCUUCUGUUUUGCUUUCAUCCCUUUAUCCCCAUCAUCCGCCAUGUGACAUUCCACCUCCUGCCAACACCUUGGCUGAACACACAAACACACACGCAACAAUAACAGGUAUUUGAGAAUUGCAAGUCAGCCCUGUCUGAGAAAAUGAUCUACAGCAGCAAUGAUGUCAUCAUCUAUUGUCAAAAUGGCGGCUGCUGAGCUCCCUCUGUAUCUCUCUUGGAAGAGGUGGCAGACUGAGGGGGCCAGAUCAGGUGAACAGGGCGGGUGUUGGGCGAGUUCAAAUCAGCAUUUGGCUGGUGUUCAUUUUCUCAGAUGGUGCUGACGUGCAAAUUUUAAUUAGCCAAAACAGAAAAACCACAAAAGUUAUUAACUUCAAACCUCCCUGUAAAAUCACUGAAAGAGUUAAACUGCACGUGUCUGUAACGAGAACUGUUUAACUCGUGUCCUUCAGCGUUAGGCCACAGACUCAUCAGUCACCCCUCAGUUGUGAAUGCAUGGCUGCAGCUCAGCAAGGUGCCUGGAAGUGGUCACCUUUAGUCACACAUGGCUUUUUUUCUUUCUCUUCUAUGUAAGAACUGUCCCAAAGUGAACGUUGUAUCUAUACCACUAUAUCUGAUCUUAAUAUGCAUAUUAGUGUAGUAUGCAUAUCUGCUGUAGGUCUGCAGAAGUCCCAGUUAAAACCAUGCUUGAAAGUAGAAGUGAAAUCAGCUACCUCUUUUGGGUCCUGUGUAACGUCAGAGGAGUUUAUUUCUGACUUUGUGAAACUGUCUUUGCUACUUCAUGUGACAAUUUGUUUUACUUCACUUCUUUCAUAAAUCUGACUUCAUGCUUUUCA